This 30-nucleotide non-coding RNA is filed under the name Mus musculus (house mouse). The record is from RNAcentral. Lineage: Eukaryota; Metazoa; Chordata; Mammalia; Rodentia; Muridae.
UACAUGUCUUUUAUGUCGUGAAGUGUGACA